This 488-nucleotide ribosomal RNA is filed under the name uncultured bacterium. RNAcentral's name for it is "bacterial SSU rRNA". It matches the Rfam family "Bacterial small subunit ribosomal RNA", at positions 28 to 535 of the family's 1533-position model. The record is from RNAcentral.
GAUGAACGUUGGCGGCGUGCCUAAUACAUGCAAGUCGAACGAAGACUGUAGUAAUACUGUCUUAGUGGCGAACGGGUGAGUAACGCGUGGGUGACCUGCCCCGAAGUGUGGGAUAACAGUUCGAAAGGAUUGCUAAUACUGCAUAAUAUCCAAGAGAUUAGACGCUUUUGGAUUAAAGGAGUAAUUCGCUUCGGGAGGGGCCCGCGUCCCAUCAGCUAGUUGGUAAGGUAAUGGCUUACCAAGGCGAUGACGGGUAGGGGACCUGAGAGGGUGGCCCCCCACAAUGGAACUGAAACACGGUCCAUACACCUACGGGUGGCAGCAGUAGGGAAUAUUAGUAAUGGGCGAAAGCCUGAACUAGCAACGCCGCGUGUGCGAAGAAGGCCUUCGGUUGUAAAGCACUUUUGUAGAGGAUGAGGAAGGACGGUACGUCUCAGAAUAAGUCUCGGCUAACUACGUGCCAGCAGCCGCGGUAAAAUACACGUGUA